This is a non-coding RNA of Odocoileus virginianus texanus, 408 nucleotides long. The record is from the annotation of a RefSeq genome assembly. Lineage: Eukaryota; Metazoa; Chordata; Mammalia; Artiodactyla; Cervidae.
AUGGCCUGGACCCCCCUCCUCCUCGGCCUCCUGGCUCACUGCACAGGCGCUGCGUCCUCCUACGAGAUGACUCAGUCACCCUCGGUGUCAGUGACCCCGGGACAGACGGGUGGGAUCACGUGUGGGGGGAGCAGCAUUGGAAGUGAAAAUGAUCAGUGGUACCAGCAGAAGCCCGGUCAGGCCCCUGUGCGGGUCAUCUAUGUGAAUAGCAAGCGGGCCUCAGGGAUCCCUGGCCAGUUCUCUGGCACCAGCUCGGGGGGCACGGCCACCCUGACCAUCAGCGGGGCCCGGGCCGAGGACGAGGCCGACUGUCCCUGUCAGGUGUGGGACAGCAGUGCCCACAUGUCAACGGCUGAUGGGAAGGGAGACACACACCCGCUGCCUGGCCUGCACUCCGGCCUCCUCUGA